This 399-nucleotide long non-coding RNA is filed under the name Mytilus galloprovincialis (Mediterranean mussel). The record is from RNAcentral. Lineage: Eukaryota; Metazoa; Mollusca; Bivalvia; Mytilida; Mytilidae.
CUUUUGUUUAAAACAUCAUAAUAAGUAUUCAAUCUCAUUUUUUCUUUUUUCUUUUUCGCAUACACCAUCUACAACGUGGUUUGUUUAUAUAUCUUAUCAGAUCAACUAAGUCACUCAAAAUAAUGCAUCCCGUGAUAGCAACAAGUACAAUUAUUCCCAGAGUUCUUAAGUGUCGGGAGGACCUUCGAUCAUCUUCUGCGCAUGUAUUCCUUCUUCUCGUACUAGACAAUUUCGAUUUGUCAAUUUUUAGUUCUUUUUCUAGUAUUUUAAUCCUUUCAUUUAUUAGGAACUGUUUUUCUUCUUUUGAGUGGUUAUGGUUUUGUUGUUGAUAAUUGUUAUUGGCCGAGUGCUUGCAGAGACACAUAUUCAUGUUUUCUGAAAGAAAAAAAUGCACAUUGU